Pipra filicauda (Wire-tailed manakin) is the source of this 373-nucleotide long non-coding RNA. RefSeq lists it as uncharacterized. The record is from RefSeq and is a predicted model, not a curated record. NCBI's taxonomy places the organism in Eukaryota, Metazoa, Chordata, Aves, Passeriformes, Pipridae. The transcript is spliced from 4 exons.
ACACAGGAACUGGACAAGGGAGGCCUGAAGAAUUGCCGACUCCUCUGCCUCAGAGUCACGUCUCAUGCUUUAAAGGCUUUAAGCAGAUCCAUUCUAGGAGACCUUCCCUAACACUCAGAUGUGAAGUCAUUCCAAAGCUGCCUCAAAAAGACAACAAAACAUCAUGCAUGACUGGUCUUGUGUGUAACACCAUCGGCUUCAACCAAUCUUCCCAUUCAGAGAUACUCCCCUUCUUCCUGCCUUAGAAAUACUAACACUAACGAGAAGGAGCGUCCCAGCUGAAUCCUUGUUUAUUUGGAUAGAGAUAGAGAAGAAUCUCAGUCCCCAGACAGGCAAAAGUGAGUUAACAGCAAAAUAAACAGUUCAUAUUUAA